This 867-nucleotide ribosomal RNA is filed under the name Pseudomonas sp. RNAcentral describes it as "bacterial SSU rRNA". It matches the Rfam family "Bacterial small subunit ribosomal RNA", at positions 56 to 918 of the family's 1533-position model. Lineage: Bacteria; Pseudomonadati; Pseudomonadota; Gammaproteobacteria; Pseudomonadales; Pseudomonadaceae. The record is from RNAcentral.
UGCAAGUCGAGCGGUAGAGAGAAGCUUGCUUCUCUUGAGAGCGGCGGACGGGUGAGUAAUGCCUAGGAAUCUGCCUGGUAGUGGGGGAUAACGUUCGGAAACGGACGCUAAUACCGCAUACGUCCUACGGGAGAAAGCAGGGGACCUUCGGGCCUUGCGCUAUCAGAUGAGCCUAGGUCGGAUUAGCUAGUUGGUGGGGUAAUGGCUCACCAAGGCGACGAUCCGUAACUGGUCUGAGAGGAUGAUCAGUCACACUGGAACUGAGACACGGUCCAGACUCCUACGGGAGGCAGCAGUGGGGAAUAUUGGACAAUGGGCGAAAGCCUGAUCCAGCCAUGCCGCGUGUGUGAAGAAGGUCUUCGGAUUGUAAAGCACUUUAAGUUGGGAGGAAGGGUUGUAGAUUAAUACUCUGCAAUUUUGACGUUACCGACAGAAUAAGCACCGGCUAACUCUGUGCCAGCAGCCGCGGUAAUACAGAGGGUGCAAGCGUUAAUCGGAAUUACUGGGCGUAAAGCGCGCGUAGGUGGUUUGUUAAGUUGGAUGUGAAAUCCCCGGGCUCAACCUGGGAACUGCAUUCAAAACUGACUGACUAGAGUAUGGUAGAGGGUGGUGGAAUUUCCUGUGUAGCGGUGAAAUGCGUAGAUAUAGGAAGGAACACCAGUGGCGAAGGCGACCACCUGGACUAAUACUGACACUGAGGUGCGAAAGCGUGGGGAGCAAACAGGAUUAGAUACCCUGGUAGUCCACGCCGUAAACGAUGUCAACUAGCCGUUGGAAGCCUUGAGCUUUUAGUGGCGCAGCUAACGCAUUAAGUUGACCGCCUGGGGAGUACGGCCGCAAGGUUAAAACUCAAAUGAAUUGACGGGG